UGUUCGCAUCUCUUCUAUUAAGAGUUCUGUAUUCUCUUAAAUAUCUAUAGAAACCUUGCAAUAACUGGAGACUGACCAGAAAACGUUCGGGUUAUUUCAGUCUCAAACUGUAUAUUUCUUUUCUGUCCUUUUAUUUAUAUCUGUUUUUAUAAAACUGCAAAUGAAGGGGGUACUCUUUCAGUUCUCACAGUGCUAUACUGAUGGGAUUCUAGGGGAGGGGACCUUAAUUUCUUUUUGUUUGCCUGCGAUGGGACAUACGUCAUCUCCAAGGGGAACUGAUGGAAAGAUAACCUUCGGCAUCUGUCUCUGUCUUCCAUACUGAAUUGCAUUCAUUUAACAGAUUCAGCAUUCCAGAGGCAGCUUCUCCAGACGUUCCAGGUCAGACGAAUGACUCUUUCCGAUGGAAUCCCUGCGAUUCGUGGACAGCUAAACGUCUCCCUAACCAAACAACAGCGAAUGGCUGCAAAGACGUUGCGGUGUGCAAGAUUCAAGAGAUAUCUGGGUUUGGGACUUUCUACGUCGACAUUGGGGAACAAAAGUUGUCGGACUGUGUUCUCAAGAAUGGACAAUGCCAGCUGACUUACGGUGUAGCCACUAACAAACAAAUAAACACCAUCAUUGCCCUUGUGUGUGAUGAAACGGAAGAAGGGCUAGUGGAUCCGAUGAGAAACGUAUUUGCCUCAAAGUUAUUUGUAAGUACGCUUGCUGUGUUAGAUGUGUAUUAAGAUUGGAGAAUGAAUUUUAA
Molecule: long non-coding RNA, 745 nt
Organism: Orbicella faveolata
Lineage: Eukaryota; Metazoa; Cnidaria; Anthozoa; Scleractinia; Merulinidae
Source: RefSeq, a predicted model, not a curated record